UAUACAUGCAGUCGAGCGAAUGGAUUAAGAGCUUGCUCUUAUGAAGUUAGCGGCGGACGGGUGAGUAACACGUGGGUAACCUGCCCAUAAGACUGGGAUAACUCCGGGAAACCGGGGCUAAUACCGGAUAAUAUUUUGAACCGCAUGGUUCGAAAUUGAAAGGCGGCUUCGGCUGUCACUUAUGGAUGGACCCGCGUCGCAUUAGCUAGUUGGUGAGGUAACGGCUCACCAAGGCAACGAUGCGUAGCCGACCUGAGAGGGUGAUCGGCCACACUGGGACUGAGACACGGCCCAGACUCCUACGGGAGGCAGCAGUAGGGAAUCUUCCGCAAUGGACGAAAGUCUGACGGAGCAACGCCGCGUGAGUGAUGAAGGCUUUCGGGUCGUAAAACUCUGUUGUUAGGGAAGAACAAGUGCUAGUUGAAUAAGCUGGCACCUUGACGGUACCUAACCAGAAAGCCACGGCUAACUACGUGCCAGCAGCCGCGGUAAUACGUAGGUGGCAAGCGUUAUCCGGAAUUAUUGGGCGUAAAGCGCGCGCAGGUGGUUUCUUAAGUCUGAUGUGA
RNAcentral lists this ribosomal RNA (566 nucleotides) under Bacillus cereus. Its description in RNAcentral is "bacterial SSU rRNA". It matches the Rfam family "Bacterial small subunit ribosomal RNA", at positions 50 to 597 of the family's 1533-position model. Lineage: Bacteria; Bacillati; Bacillota; Bacilli; Caryophanales; Bacillaceae. The record is from RNAcentral.